This 345-nucleotide ribosomal RNA is filed under the name uncultured bacterium. RNAcentral describes it as "bacterial SSU rRNA". It matches the Rfam family "Bacterial small subunit ribosomal RNA", at positions 917 to 1268 of the family's 1533-position model. The record is from RNAcentral.
GGGCCCGCACAAGCGGUGGAGCAUGUGGUUUAAUUCGAUGAUACGCGAGGAACCUUACCAGGGCUUAAAUGUAGUCUGACGUACUUGGAAAUAGAUUUUUCUUCGGACACUUAACAGGUGCUGCAUGGUUGUCGUCAGCUCGUGCCGUGAGGUGUCAGUUAAGUCCUAUAACGAGCGCAACCCCUGUUGUUAGUUGCCAGCGAGUAAUGUCGGGAACUCUAGCAAGACUGCCGUGCAAACCGUGAGGAAGGUGGGAUGACGUCAAAUCAUCACGGCCCUUACGUCCUGGGCCACACACGUGCUACAAUGGUAGGUACAGAGAGCAGCCACGUCGCAAGGCGGAGC